CCAGACUCCUACGGGAGGCAGCAGUGAGGAAUAUUGGUCAAUGGGCGGGAGCCUGAACCAGCCAUGCCGCGUGAAGGCGAGUGCCCUACGGGCGUUAAACUUCUUUUGUGCGGGAGCAAUAAGGGCCACGUGUGGCCCGAUGAGAGUACCGCACGAAUAAGCAUCGGCUAACUCCGUGCCAGCAGCCGCGGUAAUACGGAGGAUGCGAGCGUUAUCCGGAUUUAUUGGGUUUAAAGGGUGCGUAGGCGGAUCCUAAAGCUGGGGGGGAAAUUGGGGGGGUAACCCCCCUCCCCGCCAUUGAAACUGGCGUUCUUGAGUGGAAGAGAAGUAUGCGGAAUGCGUGGUGUAGCGGGGAAAUGCAUAGAUAUCACGCGGAACCCCGAUUGCGAAGGCAGCAUGCCGGCUUCCGACUGACGCUGAAGCACGAAAGCGUGGGGAUCGAACAGGAUUAGAUACCCUCGUAC
This 464-nucleotide ribosomal RNA is filed under the name uncultured bacterium. Its description in RNAcentral is "bacterial SSU rRNA". It matches the Rfam family "Bacterial small subunit ribosomal RNA", at positions 331 to 793 of the family's 1533-position model. The record is from RNAcentral.